Long non-coding RNA from Pteropus alecto (black flying fox), 2523 nucleotides. RefSeq lists it as uncharacterized. The record is from RefSeq and is a predicted model, not a curated record. The transcript has 2 exons. NCBI's taxonomy places the organism in Eukaryota, Metazoa, Chordata, Mammalia, Chiroptera, Pteropodidae.
AGGUCAAGUGGGAGCCUGAGACUCUGCAUUUCCAACACAUUCCCAAGGGAGGUGGUUGCUGCUGGUCUGGGAACCACACUGCAGCAAGGUUUUCGAGAAUUUUGGCCAGUGGAUCUGCUUUAUCCUGUGCCUUCCUCCUGCUGACUCUUUUGUUUACACAAGUCACCUCCCACCUCUACUCACGUCCUGAGUCUGAAAUUCUGAAUCCAUCUGCAUUGCUCAUGACAGCGUCAGAGCUCCUGAGGAGGGCUCCCGGGCUGGAGCAUGGGUGGGCCCUCCUCCCCCGGGGAGUGCUGAGUCCCAGUGUUCCCAGUCGACAGUCUCAACCCUGGGGAGCUUUGCACAAACACUGCUGGGGCUGCGUCUGAUCUGCAUUGUCCGAAACCCCCCCAAGAAAACAAACAUCCCCUCCGGAGCCAAGCACAGGGGCUGGUGGGGAUCGUGAGGGCUGCAGGAGGCACCGCUUGGUGAAGCGGUCAUCUACCUCCUACCAACAGGCCGUGGGGACACUCCCCACUCUGAAACCUCUGCAGUGCUGAUGUCAUCUCUCAAGCCCACGGCAAGACAAAUCACUAUUCUGCCACGUUUUCAUCCGGUGCCAUCUGGAAGCCCAGCCCUCACACGGGACAGCCUCCAGAAUAUAAAGAGGAAGUUACCCUUGACCCGCUCUGUGGAAAUUCCGGACAGUGGCCGAGAGUAGACAAAGGAAGAACUCUGAGAGUGGCAAUGCGGAGUAAGUGAUUGUUUCUGGGAGUGGGACAAUCCGAGCCACCCAAACCCCAGACGUGAAGGGAAAUUCAGUCUUCAAAAGGUCUUUCAUCGUAAUUUUUCCAUGAUGGAACCAGCUUCUCACUUAGUUGUUUAUCCCAGCAGAUACCAGCCUCCCAGGUGAUCCUAAUGCACAGCCCUGACUAGGAAGCCCAGCACCACGCCGCAGCCUCCUCGAGCAAGACUAUGUCCAGCUUUGGUUCGUAUCCCCAGUUCCAGAACAGGGCCUGACCCAUUCGAUCCUUCUCUAAAUGAAGUGAUGGCGGCUCAUCAUCUACGGCUGAAACGAUGCAGAGAUGUGUGAGGAACGAGGUCCCUUGCCUAUGGCCAUUCGCGCCCCUUGGCUUCUCUCCCGUCCUCAGCAUGUCAUCCCUGCUGACCCGCGUUCCUUCCUAAGUGGUAGCCACAUGCCCCCUUCCCAUCACCCAUCCUGGUUCUGCUGAGUCCCCUCUCGGUCCUCCGGGGCCUGUACCCACUCACUCACUUCUCUGAGUUAUCCUCUGUGGAGAAGGAACCAUUCCUUCUCCCUGUACUGGGAGCCCCUUAGGCCAGAUGCACCAAACUCAGACCAGGAGCGGAGGGUGCGAGUGCAUGCAUGCUGUCUCUCCACUGUCUUCUGCAUCUGCCUUCUUCGUCUAGGACAGUGUAUGUCCAGAACAAGCCCUCAGUAAAAGUUUCUUUGAAUUAAAAAAAAAAAAGUUACUAGGACAGGACUACAGGAAGGGAGGAGAGGAAGGCAUUCCAGGUGAAUUAAUUAACCAAGGAAAGACCUGAAGUAGUUGGAGUGUCCUUGGCUUGAGUACAAUAAUAGCAAAGGAAAAUUGAUUUUUAAGCCAAAAAUGUUCACACCUCCAUCCAUCACUGAAUAUAUGCCCCACCCAUUUUUACAGUCUUUCUCUGAAUCGUGCAUGCCAACAUAAACUACCAACUCUCUGGUCUUUCUCAAAGUAACCUGGAGAAAAAUGAGAAGGUGGAAUUCUCCAGGAAUGGAACAAAAAUUUCCAAGGCACCUGUUUUAGGUACAAAUACAAUGACCAAAAUUUUCUCAGCCCAAAUAGAAUAGCCUACUAGGUUCCCUUACUGGGAGAAGGCAACAGCCUGCUUGUAAUCAGGGUCAUCGUAGAAAACUCCAGCCUUAAAAGCUACAAAAAACAGUCCUGAUGGCUGAACUCCUGAGCUGAAAGUUAAAUGUUCUUAUACACUCAGAACAAGUAUGACUUCCCUGAUUUUAAGAAAAAGGAGAGAAUUAGUGUUUAUUAAGCACCUGAUACUGAAUAGCCUUAUGAAGGUUGUGUGCUCAGCACAUAAGCACUAAGCCGCACCCAGCCCGGUGAGGUUAUGUCCUUGUAUCCUGUUGCGGAGAUGAGGUACACAUGCCCAGAACCUUAGGAGACACACCCAAAAACACGCCAUCAGUGAACGGCACAGGCAAAAUGACCGUCGGGUCGCCCUGGCUGCAGCCUUGGACAUAGAUUCCAGAUUUACUACUGUUAUUGCUUUCCUGUAGGUCUUCCACAAUGAACCCCAGGAAGAGUCAUCAAGACCACAAGGGAGUAGGCCCCCCUCCUUCGCCUUCCUUUGAAAGGCCCCUCCACAGAAGCGAAGCGUGAGGAGAGAGACAGGAGGAGCAGUGUUUAAGGCAGGGAGGAGGGAGACCAAUGACUGGACAGAAAUUCUUAAAUUCACAGCUAUUAAGUCUUUAGGUCUAUGGGCUUAACGCCUGGAGGAAUGAUGUUUAAAAAAAAAAAAAAUAGA